Long non-coding RNA from Chinchilla lanigera (long-tailed chinchilla), 616 nucleotides. RefSeq lists it as uncharacterized. The transcript is spliced from 3 exons. The record is from RefSeq and is a predicted model, not a curated record. NCBI's taxonomy places the organism in Eukaryota, Metazoa, Chordata, Mammalia, Rodentia, Chinchillidae.
AAAUUUACAAAAGUUUAUAGCCCUGAAUCUUGGGUUCUGCGCCAGGGGAAAAACGACAUUCAAAACCCCUGGAGACACAGGAAGCUCCGCUAAGGCAGGGCUGGCAGACACGUGGGCCAGGAAAUGGCUCCCGGAAUGCAGAGCACCAUACUGCUAGUACCGAAGAGCACAAGGCUUUCGAGUCAAGGAGUUUGGAGAGAUUUUCUUGCCAUAGACAAUGGAAGACCAGCAGAAUGAAAGAUCGCAAGUGAAUCUGCCAGCAACGCACAGGCUUUGUUUGAGGAGCAAGGAGCUGAAGGAGCCGCCAUCUGUGAGCGAAUUCUAGCCAACAGGGAUCCUGAUGAUCAUGCUCAUCCAGCUGCACCUCAGCCCUGCCAAGACCCAGCAGAAGAGGACUUAGCUUGUAAAGAAACACAGCUGCCUACUAUGAAGCACUAGGACCACGGGUUCCUUCUCCACUGAAGACACAGAGAAGGCCCAGGACUAGACUGCUAUCUGUUCUACUCUAAACACCAAUCACUCCAUCUCCAUCUGGAGACUGUUGGCCCGGGUAUCUUGGGCCCCAUGUCCACCACUACCUCUCCAAUAGUCCCUUUCUGGCAGACCACAGAUGCCA